RNAcentral lists this long non-coding RNA (3434 nucleotides) under Homo sapiens (human). RNAcentral describes it as "HSALNT0378410". The record is from RNAcentral. Lineage: Eukaryota; Metazoa; Chordata; Mammalia; Primates; Hominidae.
UAGAAGUUAUACCAUGGGCCCUCCAAGUUUCUCGGAGCAGCCAGGAAACCCAACAGGAAGAUGCUGAACUUGCCUAAAAGAACUUUCCAGAAGGCAUUGGGAUAACUACUCCAUAUUUUAAACCAUAUGGAUAAUGGCCUCAAGCUCCAUCCAUGUUGCUGCAAAAGACAUGAUCACAUUAUUUUUUAUGGCUACAUAGUAUUCCAUCGUAUAUAUGUACCACAUUAAACUAAAGAGCCUCUGCACAGCAAGAAAGCUAUCAACAGAGUAAACAGACAAUCAACAGAAUGCGAGAAGAUAUUUACAAAUCAUGUAUCCAACAAAGGUCUACUAUCCAUAAUUUAAAGGAACUUAAAUAAAUUAAGCAAAAAACAAAAAAACCCAUUAAAAAGUGGGCAAAGGAAUAGACACUUUUCAAAUGAAGACAUACAUGUGGCUAGCAAGCCUAUGAAAAAAUUCUUAGCAUCACUGAUCAUUAGAGAAAAGUAAAUCAAAACCGUAAUGAAAUACUAUCUCACACCAGUCAAAACCACAAUGAAAUACCAUCUAACACUAUCUCACCAACCUCAGUAGCAUCUGUUAAAAAAUAACAGAUGCUGGCAAGGUUGCAGAGAAAGGGGAAUACUUAUACACUGCUGAGGGAAAGGUAAAUUAGUAAAGCCAUUGUGGAAAGUAGUUUGGCGAUUUGUCAAAGAACUUAAAACAGAAUUAUCAUUCAACCCAGAAAUCCCAUUAUUGGGUAUUAUUGGGUAUUCGCAAAGGAAUAUAAAUCAUUCUACCAUAAAGACACAUGCACAUGUAUGUUCAUCAUAGCACUAUUUCACAAUAGCAAAAACAUGGAAUCAACCUAAAUGUCCUGCUUCUUUUUAUAAGGAAACUAAUCCAAUAAUGAAGGAUCCAUUUUCAUAACCUAAUAACCUCCCUAAAACCCUAUCUAAAAAUACCAUCACAUUGGAGAUUACGGUUUCAACAUAUGGAUUUUGAGGGGAACCCAAACAUUUAGUCCACAGCAAUAGUAUCAGAAGACAUAGAUCACUGAUUUUAAGAUGGGCACAUACCAAUUAAAAAUAUUUGAACUCUGGGAGCCCAUACCCUAAUACAGAAUCCACAUCUUAGGACAGCACACCUGACAUCAGAAAGAUCACACUAUGCCCUAGGACUAUACAGUCUUCCUUUAUCUAUAUGCAUGCUGUAUGUCAGAAAAGAGUUUUCAUUUGUGGAUUUAAUUGCUCGUGAAUCAACUCGAUGAAUGUCAGAAAUAGGCUUUUACUGUAAAAAGUAUUCAAGAUAUGGAGACUAAAAAUAUGUAUCAAAGAGUUUUCUCACACUUCCAUGAAAACCUCAUUAUAAACAUCUAUGAAGUCUUGCUCUUUUAUCCACGGGGAUACUGCUUGAGGAUAAAUCCCCGGAGCUUCUAGCUGUGAACUGCGGGAUUCUGGUUGCUGAUGCCAGCCACGCGGAGUAGUCCCUACAUUUGGAAUCCCAGCUUGAAUAAACUCUCUGUGAAAGACUUGGAGGGCCUUGAGUCUGCAAGGUGCUUUUUUUUCUGAAGCUUUGGUAGUGUAACUGUAAGAGUCCUGGAAUUGGAAAAGCAAAUCCAGAAGUUGAGUUCCAUGACUUUUUUGCUGUUUGCCUUUGGACUUGCAUCAUUUAUAUUUUUAAUUCAUCGAGGAUGAGAAAAUUGAUUAACACAAAAUCUUUUCAUGUCUUUUCUGAUGAGAGACUAGCUGAAUCCAAGAAGAGAAGCCCUUGAAGAGUGUAUUCUAUUCUAGACAAGCAUUCACACAUUGGCUUCUUUGGUGCCAGAUUAAAGAAUGAAGAAAGGAUCAAAUUGAGACAUCCAGGGGGGAAGAGUUCCCUGGCAAAACUCCAAUCUGCCUGAGCACUGAGGUGGAGCCACAGAAGUCCGGGUCAUUUGCACCUGGGAGGAGCCUGGCCCCUCCUCUUCCUGUGUGGAAUCUGGGAUUUAAUCUGUGAGGAGGGAAGGCCAAGGGCAGGAAGCACAGGCUCUCACUUCACUAAGAGUCUCUGUUUCCCCUUUUUUUCCUUUAUGCCUAAUUAAUAAAUCCCAUUUUUCUCACUCUUCAAAUAGUCUUCAAGCCUAAAUUUUCAUGACCAUGGAACAAGGACCCCAUCUUUAGCUGAACUAAGGAAAAGUCCUGCAACAAAAUUCUUUGCUAAAAAUACAUGAGGUUGCCUUUUCCUUCUUAAUCUUAAAAGAAAUAUAUUUCAAUGGUUAACGUUUUAGUAAUUCAAAAAUUAUCAAGCAUUUGUUCACAACCAUAAGAUGUGCAUUGUUUUAUAUUCCUACUUAAUAAUAGACUAUAAUUGUCUAAUUAGACUGCCGAUGUUGAUCUUUGUGGCUCAUUGCAUUGAUUAUAAGCAGUGUUUUGGGUUUGUGUGUGUGUGUCAAAUUUAGGGUUUUUUUGGUAUGGCUGCUGGUUGGUGUAGCCUGUAUCCAGUAUCCUGUAUUAAUUCUAAUAUUUGCAUUUUGAACAUAUUUACAAGUUGCUAAAAUAGCAAAGCUUCGAGAUGAGCCUGGCUGAUAUGGCAAAACCCCGUCUCUACUAAAAAUACAAAAAUUAGCCUGGUGUGGUGGUGCAUGCCUGUAAUCCCAGCUACUUGGAAGUCUGAGGCAGGAGAAUCUCUUGAACCCAGAAGGUGGAGGUUGCAGUGGGCCAAGAUCGCACCACUGCACUCCAGCCUCGGUGAUAGAGCGAGACUACGUCUCAAAAAUAAAAUAAAAUAAAAUAAAAUAAAAAUAGCAAAGCUAUGUAUGGUUUCUCUGAGUUUUGUAAUUUAUCAUUGUUAACUGCAGAAAUUUAUUAUAUGAGACAUAUUAUAUGAGACAUAUAAGUGAAUUUGGAUUGGGUUUAAUUUUAUAUUUUUGAAUAUAGUUCUUCAAGAUAAAUUUUAUCUUAGACCUCAAGAAAUAAAAAUAAAAUAAAUUAGAUAUACAAACGAACACAAAUGUAUGCAGUCCUAGCCUAAUUUAAGACAUUAACUUGGAUAAGUCAAAGGUAUAUGUUGCAAUUCCUGGAGUAACCACUAAAAAUAAUACAAUACUAUUAUAUCUAGAAAUCUAAUAGAGUAAUUAAAAAGUUUUAUUAAUCCCCAAAAAGGCAGAAAAGUUAGGACAUACACAUAUACACACACACACACAGACAGAUACAAAAACAAUAGCAGUUAGAGACCUAAAUAAAACAAUCAUCAUAAUUAUACCAGGAAAAGACUGCUAAACAGAAUUUUAAAAGGAUCGAUUUUAUCCUGUCUAUAAGAGAUGCAUGUUAGAAACAAAAAUACAAGAAGAUUGAAGCAAAAAGAUGAAAAAAGAUGAUAUACUAAGCAAACAACAGUAAGUUAAAGAAAGUUGGAUGACAAUACCAACAUUGGAAAAACAUCAACUUCAAGAUGAAGAGGAAUAUGAAAGAAGG